RNAcentral lists this long non-coding RNA (206 nucleotides) under Ricinus communis (castor bean). Its description in RNAcentral is "long non-coding RNA (RCOM_LNC003594)". Lineage: Eukaryota; Viridiplantae; Streptophyta; Magnoliopsida; Malpighiales; Euphorbiaceae. The record is from RNAcentral.
CCAAAUGACUCGUAUGGAAGCACCUACAAUCAAGAGUGGAGCACUCAUUCUCCCUUUGGAUGGAGCUUAGAUGGCCAAGAACCACUAGGAAUUCAGCAACUACAUCAGCAGCCUAAUGUUGCACCUUCAACUCAAGAUGAAGAGUUAGUGUCGGAGGAGCUGAUGAUGAGGUUCAUUACAAGUCUUGAUGACAGAUUCCAACAAAC